AUGAAGGAGCAUAUAAAAAAGCAAUACCAGAUUAUUAAAGAUAUGAAUAACAAAGAAGGUUGUGUCAAUAAUGUAAUAGAAGAGGUUGGUGACCAUGAUGUCAACCAUUUACAAAUUCAACAAAAUUCAUCAUCACCACAAGACCUUGUUAUUGAUUCUAUGCUAGAGGUGAGGGAAACGAGGAAUAUUAUGGGUGAAUCUGUUUCAAGACUAAACCAGCCAGGGACAAGAACUGAACGCCCACACCCAACUUGCUCAAAAAGAAGGCGUACUUCUACCAUCAAGGAUGCUUCCAAAGUGGUUUUAAAGACUUCAACAUAUCCCAACAAGCAGAAUGUUGCGUAUGGUACUAUUCGGAGUAUUGAUCCAAGAACUAAGGCUGGUGGUAUUGAGUUAGGUGUUGAAUUUGCUCUUGUGCGCAUAGACGAACCUAUUCUUGAAAAUGAGGAGUUGGUAAGGGAAGUUUCUGAUUGCAAGACAAUUGACGAGGCUUUCACUUUAGGAUACUUAAUUACCUGGCCUUCAGCUUUUUUAAGCUACAAUCUUCCCUUCCACAUUCUCAAAUCAGAUUUGUGUACAUUUAAUCACACAUAUCUAAGGUGCAAUUUUCUUUUACAGAUUCGAGAGAAGGAUAGUUGA
RNAcentral lists this ribosomal RNA (639 nucleotides) under Triticum aestivum (bread wheat). RNAcentral's name for it is "partial small subunit ribosomal RNA". The record is from RNAcentral. Lineage: Eukaryota; Viridiplantae; Streptophyta; Magnoliopsida; Poales; Poaceae.